This 26-nucleotide non-coding RNA is filed under the name Cricetulus griseus (Chinese hamster). The record is from RNAcentral. Lineage: Eukaryota; Metazoa; Chordata; Mammalia; Rodentia; Cricetidae.
GAAAGGUGCAUGACUGUAUUAAUGAC